Molecule: long non-coding RNA, 490 nt
Filed under: Medicago truncatula (barrel medic)
Lineage: Eukaryota; Viridiplantae; Streptophyta; Magnoliopsida; Fabales; Fabaceae
Description: lncRNA gene22178
Source: RNAcentral
GGUUGUCAUAAAAAUUCAAAGUCUAGAGAAUCAAGAUCAAAUUGUAAGUAAAUUAUAAAAGUACAAACAUUAUUAUAUGCUUUGAGGAAUCAUAACUAUCUUUGAGGUAAAUCAUCGUCCCUAAAGUAUGUGCAAAAGUUAUUAACGCAUAGCAAAACAUAAGGAGGUUGUGCCACAAUGCAAUCAUCAUCAGAAAUGCAAGGAAUGUAAGCUGCAUUUCAAAUAAGAAAAAUAAAUGUUAUUAAGAGGUGAUAAAAUACUGUGUAUAAGAUAGAUUAUAAAAUGGUGUGAAAAAUGACAUACUUCUUCCUCCUGGUGGUCCUCCUUUCCUUCCAAUCAAAAACGGAGAAAGAAAGAUAAUCAAAGCAUAAACAAACAUGAGAAUGUGAGCCAUAUUUUUCUUCCUUUGCAUGUAAAACAAUUUUUUUAAUCUCUUUAUAAGUAAACUUUAAUGCUUUGUUAACUUUAAUUAAAAUAUUUUUUGUUGAUU